GCCUGGGUGGCUCAGUGGGUUGAGCAUCUGACUUCCGUUCAGGUCACGAGCUCGCGGUUUGUGGGUUUGAGCCCCACAUCAGGCU
RNAcentral lists this transfer RNA (85 nucleotides) under Felis catus (domestic cat). It matches the Rfam family "tRNA". From Rfam's summary of the family: Transfer RNA (tRNA) molecules are approximately 80 nucleotides in length. The record is from Rfam by way of RNAcentral. Lineage: Eukaryota; Metazoa; Chordata; Mammalia; Carnivora; Felidae. RNAcentral also lists the same sequence under 2 other names.